Long non-coding RNA from Chiroxiphia lanceolata (lance-tailed manakin), 1059 nucleotides. RefSeq lists it as uncharacterized. The transcript has 2 exons. Lineage: Eukaryota; Metazoa; Chordata; Aves; Passeriformes; Pipridae. The record is from RefSeq and is a predicted model, not a curated record.
UGAAAAUAUUUUGUGUUUUGGGGAUGGGGAACUAGAAACUUGGAGAUAAAACAAAAUAGAGUUUGUGUACUUGUUCUGAGGUUCUUGUGAAACUUGGAGCCUUGGAUUGGUAAAUACAGGGAGGAGACUGUCUUUGGCAGCAGCAAGUUGUUAGACCAGUGCAAGUUAUCUGUAUGUGGCAUCAUUUUGAAUUUAUAUUGACUCUGUAAUGUGACAUUGGUUGCUGAUUUGUUUUUUCCUAGUGUGGUAUACAAUUCUAAAUUAGCAAGAAAUAACAAUGAUGAUUGUUGCUUUUAUAUAUUCAUACAUACGUAUAUAUAUAUAUAUAUAUGUUGCAUUUAUUUAUAUAUAACAGGACAGAACCAAACCCUAUAUUUUCCUAAUCUCAGUGUUAUGCUGAAGAAAAUUCUACGUCUCUUCAUUUCCUGUGCCCUUGGCCAUAUGUGUGUAUAAUGAUUGACAUCAUUAACAAAGCAGAUUUCUUUCACCUGCAGUAUGCUGCUUUUUAUAAAUAGCUUCUAAAGAACUUUGUAAACUACGUUAGGAUCAUCAUCCUAAUUCUAUAGAUUAUUUACCAAGGCAGUCCAAUGCUAGAGAAGGAAUGGAAUUCAGGUCUUCUGAAUUGCAGUUCAGUCCUGUUGAGGACUGAACCUGAGUUCAGUCAUUUCAAUCACAAUUCAUUAAAAUGUUCAUUAAAGGCAGUGAUCAAGGAUGGUAUGAGAUACAAGUGGGGUGUAUAUAUAUAUGUAUGUAACAUUUGGUGAUUUUUUUUUUGGUAAGGCUUUUCAUUGUCCCCAUUUGCUGUACUUUGGGUCCAACAUCAAGGUGUGGUCUAGAAUCACACAAAUGGGCUUCCUAUUGGAUGAAUCUAAGCCUUGACAGUAAAUUCCCCAAGCAGAACUAAUUCAUUCCAUAAACUAAUAAAUGGUCAGUCCCUGGGACUAGACCAGAGCAAAUUCAAAGCAUUUUUUUUCAGAUCCCCUCUAACGCCCCUCAGAAGGUAUGUAGUGUAAAUAAUGUGUCCUCAACACUAUUUUGAUGUGUAGUAAACUCUUAAAA